Molecule: unclassified non-coding RNA, 196 nt
Filed under: uncultured fungus
Lineage: Eukaryota; Fungi
Description: sequence contains ITS1, 5.8S rRNA gene
Source: RNAcentral
UCGAAUUUUAUAAACUCGGGUCUUUGAAAAGGGGGCAACCUUUUUUUUGAGGCUCGUUUUCAUAAAACCAACCCCCCUUUUGUGAACCAUCGCGUGAGUUAGUAGGGGGGGGGUUGGUACCCCCUUGAAAGCUUGCGACCUAUAUACCCCAGUAUUAAGUCUCAGAAUGUUACCUUGCGUACAACGCAAUAAAAUA